Molecule: small nuclear RNA, 191 nt
Filed under: Vulpes vulpes (red fox)
Lineage: Eukaryota; Metazoa; Chordata; Mammalia; Carnivora; Canidae
Description: U2 spliceosomal RNA (ENSVVUG00000024092.1)
Rfam family: U2 spliceosomal RNA
About the family: U2 is a small nuclear RNA (snRNA) component of the spliceosome (involved in pre-mRNA splicing). Complementary binding between U2 snRNA (in an area lying towards the 5' end but 3' to hairpin I) and the branchpoint sequence (BPS) of the intron results the bulging out of an unpaired adenosine, on the BPS, which initiates a nucleophilic attack at the intronic 5' splice site, thus starting the first of two transesterification reactions that mediate splicing.
Source: Rfam by way of RNAcentral
AUCGCUUCUCGGCCUUUUGGCUAAGAUCAAGUGUAGUAUCUGUUCUUAUCAGUUUAACAUCUGAUACGUCCUCUAUCCGAAGACAAUAUAUUAAAUGGAUUUUUGGAGCAGGGAGAUGGAAUAGGAGCUUGCUCCGUCCACUGCGCACAUCGACCUGGUACUGCAGUACUUCCAGGAAUGGUAAAAAAAUU